UGGGGAAUAUUGCACAAUGGGGGGAACCCUGAUGCAGCGACGCCGCGUGAGCGAAGAAGGUUUUCGAAUCGUAAAGCUCUGUCCUAUGAGAAGAUAAUGACGGUAUCAUAGGAGGAAGCCCCGGCUAAAUACGUGCCAGCAGCCGCGGUAAUACGUAUGGGGCGAGCGUUGUCCGGAAUUAUUGGGCGUAAAGGGUACGUAGGCGGUUUUUUAAGUCAGGUGUGAAAGCGUGAGGCUUAACCUCAUUAAGCACUUGAAACUGGAAGACUUGAGUGAAGGAGAGGAAAGUGGAAUUCCUAGUGUAGCGGUGAAAUGCGUAGAUAUUAGGAGGAAUACCGGUGGCGAAGGCGACUUUCUGGACUUUUACUGACGCUCAGGUACGAAAGCGUGGGGAGCAAACAGGAUUAGAUACCCUGGUAGUCCACGCCGUAACGAUGAAUGCUAGGUGUUGGGAGUCAAAUCUCGGUGCCGAAGUUAACACAUUAAGCAUUCCGCCUGGGGAGUACGGUGGCAACACU
This 518-nucleotide ribosomal RNA is filed under the name uncultured bacterium. RNAcentral describes it as "bacterial SSU rRNA". It matches the Rfam family "Bacterial small subunit ribosomal RNA", at positions 355 to 895 of the family's 1533-position model. The record is from RNAcentral.